AGUGAUUACAAAUCUCUACAGAAGUAUACACAUUGGUAUAAAUUGCUGCAGCCCCUUUGGGAAACUAUUUGCAUGAUCAUUGCACUUAAAAAUACACCAUACUGCUGCGCCAAGUUCAAGGACCCGAGUUCGAUCCCCGGUACAAAAAAAACAAAAAAUAAAAAUACACCAUAAACUAGCGCUGUGGCAAUAGCCUGUAGACUCAGCUACUCUGGAAGCUGAGGCAGGAGGAGGCUUGAGUGCAAGCAUUGGAGGACAACCUCACAAUUGGAGGCAACAUAUCAAGAUCUUGUCUCAGAGGGGAGAAAAAGCACUGGACUAACUGCCUGUCUUCUACAAGUUAUUCCUGUUCCCAGAAGAGAGUGAACAAAAAGAAGCCACCUUGUACUACCAAGAAAACACAGUCAUGUCCCUGCUGGCCUCUUUCUUGUACGCUGAACACCUGUGAGAGAACCUAGAGACCCUGGAUGGUUUGACUACCUCAGUCACCAGCUACUUUGUGUGCAUCUGUGUAUCUGCGUGUGUAUGAUCCUGGCCACACAGCAUGCAGAUGGAGUCCAUGCUGUUGCACAAGACUAAGCAAGGAAUGGCUCCUAGCUAUGUUCAAGCCCCUCUUUUUCCCCGAGGGAGGGAAAUUCAUAGCAGCUGCUGCCUGUGAUGAUGCUGAAGUAGACCAAUUCAGUACAAAGACACAUGAAAAACCAGAUUUGCAAGUUGUGAAGGAAGUAAAAAAUGAAUCAUCAGAAUCCUCAUCCAUGGAUGAUGAAGAUAGUCCAUUAUGAUAAAAUACAUGUUUUCAUAACAGAAGAGUGGUGUGGAUGGAUGAUGAUGAUGAUAACUUUGACAUUGGCCAUGUGAGCCGAAGUUCCUGAGACAGUGAAAUGGAGCAAAAAUCAACUGAUACAGACAAAGGAAUGGAGACUUCCUUGAUUCAGAUGAGGAAGAAAACAGCAAUUAAAAAAGAAGAUAAGAUGAAGGAGAAGAAGAUGAG
Molecule: long non-coding RNA, 991 nt
Filed under: Heterocephalus glaber (naked mole-rat)
Lineage: Eukaryota; Metazoa; Chordata; Mammalia; Rodentia; Bathyergidae
Description: lncRNA (ENSHGLG00000025942.2)
Source: RNAcentral